Xenia sp. Carnegie-2017 is the source of this 213-nucleotide long non-coding RNA. RefSeq lists it as uncharacterized. The record is from RefSeq and is a predicted model, not a curated record. The transcript is spliced from 3 exons. Lineage: Eukaryota; Metazoa; Cnidaria; Anthozoa; Malacalcyonacea; Xeniidae.
ACAAAUAUGCAGCAGAAAUUCGGUCAGGUCGACUGGAGUGGAGUCCUGUUCACAAAUCCGAGAAGUUUUGGCGUGAAAAUUCUCAAAGACUCAAUGAAAAGAAUUAUGAAUUAAUAAAGAUUCUUACAAGAUUGUUAGACACCUCUCAGGAUCCUUUAAUUUUAUCUGUUUCUGCGCAUGAUGUUGGUGAAUACGUGAGACACUUUCCAAGGG